UACGGAGGGGGCUAGCGUUGUUCGGAAUUACUGGGCGUAAAGCGCACGUAGGCGGCUUUGUAAGUUAGAGGUGAAAACCCAGAGCUCAACUCUGGAAUUGCCUUUAAGACUGCAUCGCUAGAACGUCGGAGAGGUGAGUGGAAUUCCGAGUGUAGAGGUGAAAUUCGUAGAUAUUCGGAAGAACACCAGUGGCGAAGGCGACUCACUGGACGACUGUUGACGCUGAGGUGCGAAAGCGUGGGGAGCAAACAGG
RNAcentral lists this ribosomal RNA (253 nucleotides) under uncultured bacterium. Its description in RNAcentral is "partial 16S ribosomal RNA". It matches the Rfam family "Bacterial small subunit ribosomal RNA", at positions 524 to 776 of the family's 1533-position model. The record is from RNAcentral.